UCGCGGCUUAUCACCGGCAGUCCCCUUAGAGUGCCCAACUGAAUGAUGGCAACUAAGGGCGAGGGUUGCGCUCGUUGCGGGACUUAACCCAACAUCUCACGACACGAGCUGACGACAGCCAUGCAGCACCUCGACUUCCGUCCCUUGCGGGAAUUGCCCUGUUUCCAAAGCCGUUCAAAAGCCGUUCGAGCCCAGGUAAGGUUCUUCGCGUUGCGUCGAAUUAAACCACAUGCUCCACCGCUUGUGCGGGCCCCCGUCAAUUCCUUUGAGUUUCACCGUUGCCGGCGUACUCCCCAGGUGGAUUACUUAUCGCUUUCGCUAAGCCGCGUACUGUAUAUCGCACACAGCGAGUAAUCAACGUUUACAGUGUGGACUAC
RNAcentral lists this unclassified non-coding RNA (377 nucleotides) under uncultured bacterium. RNAcentral's name for it is "contains 16S-23S intergenic spacer region". The record is from RNAcentral.